Molecule: long non-coding RNA, 728 nt
Filed under: Eucalyptus grandis
Lineage: Eukaryota; Viridiplantae; Streptophyta; Magnoliopsida; Myrtales; Myrtaceae
Description: long non-coding RNA (EGRA_LNC005702)
Source: RNAcentral
CUCAUUCUGCAAUUUUGUAAAGUCCGGAGCGGGAACAACUUCUUCUACAGCAAAUGUCGACUAAACCCGAUUACUUGGCGGGGGGUUCCUUAGCUAAUAGAGAGUCUUCAACGUCACGAGUGGUGCUUUUCCCUGUGUACUUCAAUUAGGGCAAACUUACUUUACAUGACAUCACAAUUUGAUUAGAGCUAGCUCAACCAGCCCAUCCUAACUUUUCUUUUCUUCGCUGAUUCAUUCAUUCACUUUUUUGGGUGUUUUUAGAAAGCCAAAAGUAUAAACCAGCUGGCACCUCCUCUUGUAAAAAAUGUCUCACAGACUCCUAAACUCUACCAAAAAACUUCUCCACCACCAUUUCAGCCCCUUUUAUCAGCCUCAAAUGCCUGCCGCCCCCAGUGAUACUAUUGGUCCAUUCAAUUUAACCAUAACUUUUAAUCAUUGAAGAUCACGACAUGUGUCAAAUACUUAAAAGUAUAACUGCAAUCAAAUGCAUGCCAGCAUUUUGCAGCUGGACAAAUAUCUGAGGCAGAAAAGUAAAUAUAAUAGUUAUCUUUAGUAUGAAAGAUGUCACUCACUUUGCUAAUUGACUGGAUGAAAGCUCAAGAGCAUGGAGAGUAGCUAGAGCACCACCUAAACUAUGACCAGUAACAUAGACAUGCCACUUGUACUGUGGCUCACAACCAUCGUCCCUGCAAGAAAACAUUUCACCAUCAAGUUAUCACAAGACAAUC